Mauremys reevesii (Reeves's turtle) is the source of this 662-nucleotide long non-coding RNA. RefSeq lists it as uncharacterized. The record is from RefSeq and is a predicted model, not a curated record. The transcript has 2 exons. Lineage: Eukaryota; Metazoa; Chordata; Testudines; Geoemydidae.
UCUGCCCCAUUCUUUGCAGUUCACCCUAACUGAGUGACCUCAGGACUCCAGUCACAGAUGGGUCUGAACCAAACGCUUGGGUCAGAGGUUUUGUCUGAAUAAGCAGCUGAAAGUUUAGAUGCUUUAUCUGUACUAUCCAUAUCUCUUAUGUCUUUAAGACUGGCCUGGAAAUCUUGGGGAAACCCCCUCAGCUAUCUUACAGGAUUUCUGGUCCCUGCUAGAUCCCUGAAAUGCCAAUGUCAGAGGAAUAACUGAGAUGAAGCCUUGGGGAAAUGCAAACAAAGAAGAGUACUAACUUCAAAGCAAGGGCAUUGUGUUCAACAAUGGAAAAUCACAAACUCAGUCCGUAUUUCUUACUCAUCAAAACCCACGUGGGUGAAGACACUGUUCAGGUUAUUUUCUGGAGAAGAUUAAAAAUGGAUUUCAUGGAAAGAUCUUGUAUUUCUGAACAGUUUGGACACUUACAGGGAAGCAUUCCAGAUGCAAGGCAGAGAUCCCCAUUGUUAUUCUGGGUGACCCUGAGAGACUUUUGGAAAGAUAGCAGAUUACUACAUUUGGAUUUACAAACUCUGACUCACCUGUUAAUGUAUUUUACCUGCUUUAACCUCUCAAUAACGCUCAUUUCUUUUCUUAGCUUAUAAAUCUUUAGUUAGUUUACCAGA